UUGCUCACUUCGGCAGCACAUAUACUAAGUUUGAAACAAUACAGAGAAGAUUAGCAUGGCCUCUGUGCAAGGAUGACACACAAGUUUGUGAAGCAUUCCAUUUUUUA
Small nuclear RNA from Nannospalax galili (Upper Galilee mountains blind mole rat), 107 nucleotides. Lineage: Eukaryota; Metazoa; Chordata; Mammalia; Rodentia; Spalacidae. The record is from Ensembl.